UUUAACUGAAGAGUUUGAUCAUGGCUCAGAUUGAACGCUGGCGGCAGGCUUAACACAUGCAAGUCGAGCGGGGGAAAGUAGCUUGCUACUGGACCUAGCGGCGGACGGGUGAGUAAUGCUUAGGAAUCUGCCUAUUAGUGGGGGACAACAUCUCGAAAGGGAUGCUAAUACCGCAUACGUCCUACGGGAGAAAGCAGGGGAUCUUCGGACCUUGCGCUAAUAGAUGAGCCUAAGUCGGAUUAGCUAGUUGGUGGGGUAAAGGCCUACCAAGGCGACGAUCUGUAGCGGGUCUGAGAGGAUGAUCCGCCACACUGGGACUGAGACACGGCCCAGACUCCUACGGGAGGCAGCAGUGGGGAAUAUUGGACAAUGGGGGGAACCCUGAUCCAGCCAUGCCGCGUGUGUGAAGAAGGCCUUAUGGUUGUAAAGCACUUUAAGCGAGGAGGAGGCUACUCUAGUUAAUACCUAGGGAUAGUGGACGUUACUCGCAGAAUAAGCACCGGCUAACUCUGUGCCAGCAGCCGCGGUAAUACAGAGGGUGCGAGCGUUAAUCGGAUUUACUGGGCGUAAAGCGUGCGUAGGCGGCUUAUUAAGUCGGAUGUGAAAUCCCCGAGCUUAACUUGGGAAUUGCAUUCGAUACUGGUGAGC
This 648-nucleotide ribosomal RNA is filed under the name Acinetobacter baumannii. Its description in RNAcentral is "bacterial SSU rRNA". It matches the Rfam family "Bacterial small subunit ribosomal RNA", at positions 1 to 641 of the family's 1533-position model. The record is from RNAcentral. Lineage: Bacteria; Pseudomonadati; Pseudomonadota; Gammaproteobacteria; Moraxellales; Moraxellaceae.